This 722-nucleotide ribosomal RNA is filed under the name Bacillus paramycoides. RNAcentral's name for it is "bacterial SSU rRNA". The record is from RNAcentral. Lineage: Bacteria; Bacillati; Bacillota; Bacilli; Caryophanales; Bacillaceae.
CUWCGGGAGGCAGCAGUAKGGGAAUYUUCCGCAAUGGACGAAAGUYUGACGGAGCAACGCCGCGUGAGUGAUGAAGGCUUUCGGGUYGUAAAACUCUGUUGUUAGGGAAGAACAAGUGCUAGUUGAAUAAGCUGGCACCUUGACGGUACCUAACCAGAAAGCCACGGCUAACUACGUGCCAGCAGCCGCGGUAAUACGUAGGUGGCAAGCGUUAUCCGGAAUUAUUGGGCGUAAAGCGCGCGCAGGUGGUUUYUUAAGUYUGAUGUGAAAGCCCACGGCUCAACCGUGGAGGGUCAUUGGAAACUGGGAGACUUGAGUGCAGAAGAGGAAAGUGGAAUUCCAUGUGUAGCGGUGAAAUGCGUAGAGAUAUGGAGGAACACCAGUGGCGAAGGCGACUUUYUGGUCUGUAACUGACACUGAGGCGCGAAAGCGUGGGGAGCAAACAGGAUUAGAUACCCUGGUAGUCCACGCCGUAAACGAUGAGUGCUAAGUGUUAGAGGGUUUCCGCCCUUUAGUGCUGAAGUUAACGCAUUAAGCACUCCGCCUGGGGAGUACGGCCGCAAGGCUGAAACUCAAAGGAAUUGACGGGGGCCCGCMCMAGCGGUGGAGCAUGUGGUUUAAUUYGAAGCAACGCGAAGAACCUUACCAGGUCUUGACAUCCUCUGACAACCCUAGAGAUAGGGCUUCUCCUUCGGGAGCAGAGUGACAGGUGGUGCAUGGUU